RNAcentral lists this ribosomal RNA (2622 nucleotides) under Salmonella enterica subsp. enterica serovar Typhimurium. RNAcentral describes it as "partial 23S ribosomal RNA". It matches the Rfam family "Bacterial large subunit ribosomal RNA", at positions 414 to 2925 of the family's 2925-position model. Lineage: Bacteria; Pseudomonadati; Pseudomonadota; Gammaproteobacteria; Enterobacterales; Enterobacteriaceae. The record is from RNAcentral.
AGGGCGGGACACGUGGUAUCCUGUCUGAAUAUGGGGGGACCAUCCUCCAAGGCUAAAUACUCCUGACUGACCGAUAGUGAACCAGUACCGUGAGGGAAAGGCGAAAAGAACCCCGGCGAGGGGAGUGAAAAAGAACCUGAAACCGUGUACGUACAAGCAGUGGGAGCACAGGUUUACCUGUGUGACUGCGUACCUUUUGUAUAAUGGGUCAGCGACUUAUAUUCUGUAGCAAGGUUAACCGUAUAGGGGAGCCGGAGGGAAACCGAGUCUUAAUUGGGCGUUAAGUUGCAGGGUAUAGACCCGAAACCCGGUGAUCUAGCCAUGGGCAGGUUGAAGGUUGGGUAACACUAACUGGAGGACCGAACCGACUAAUGUUGAAAAAUUAGCGGAUGAUCUGUGGCUGGGGGUGAAAGGCCAAUCAAACCGGGAGAUAGCUGGUUCUCCCCGAAAGCUAUUUAGGUAGCGCCUCGUGAAUUCAUCUCCGGGGGUAGAGCACUGUUUCGGCUAGGGGGCCAUCCCGGCUUACCAACCCGAUGCAAACUGCGAAUACCGGAGAAUGUUAUCACGGGAGACACACGGCGGGUGCUAACGUCCGUCGUGAAGAGGGAAACAACCCAGACCGCCAGCUAAGGUCCCAAAGUCAUGGUUAAGUGGGAAACGAUGUGGGAAGGCCCAGACAGCCAGGAUGUUGGCUUAGAAGCAGCCAUCAUUUAAAGAAAGCGUAAUAGCUCACUGGUCGAGUCGGCCUGCGCGGAAGAUGUAACGGGGCUAAACCAUGCACCGAAGCUGCGGCAGCGAACGUAUCACCCAAGACAACUUUACGGAGUUGACGAUUGACGGAGCGAAGCGACGUCAAAGCGUUCAUUAAAGUCGAGUUGGCUUAGGGAUACGUUCGUUGGGUAGGGGAGCGUUCUGUAAGCCUGUGAAGGUGUGUCGUGAGGCAUGCUGGAGGUAUCAGAAGUGCGAAUGCUGACAUAAGUAACGAUAAAGCGGGUGAAAAGCCCGCUCGCCGGAAGACCAAGGGUUCCUGUCCAACGUUAAUCGGGGCAGGGUGAGUCGACCCCUAAGGCGAGGCCGAAAGGCGUAGUCGAUGGGAAACGGGUUAAUAUUCCCGUACUUGGUGUUACUGCGAAGGGGGGACGGAGAAGGCUAUGUUGGCCGGGCGACGGUUGUCCCGGUUUAAGCGUGUAGGUGUGUGUUCCAGGUAAAUCCGGUUCACUUUAACACUGAGGCGUGACGACGAGGCACUACGGUGCUGAAGCAACAAAUGCCCUGCUUCCAGGAAAAGCCUCUAAGCAUCAGGUAACAUCAAAUCGUACCCCAAACCGACACAGGUGGUCAGGUAGAGAAUACCAAGGCGCUUGAGAGAACUCGGGUGAAGGAACUAGGCAAAAUGGUGCCGUAACUUCGGGAGAAGGCACGCUGACACGUAGGUGAAGUGAUUUACUCAUGGAGCUGAAGUCAGUCGAAGAUACCAGCUGGCUGCAACUGUUUAUUAAAAACACAGCACUGUGCAAACACGAAAGUGGACGUAUACGGUGUGACGCCUGCCCGGUGCCGGAAGGUUAAUUGAUGGGGUCAGCGCAAGCGAAGCUCCUGAUCGAAGCCCCGGUAAACGGCGGCCGUAACUAUAACGGUCCUAAGGUAGCGAAAUUCCUUGUCGGGUAAGUUCCGACCUGCACGAAUGGCGUAAUGAUGGCCAGGCUGUCUCCACCCGAGACUCAGUGAAAUUGAACUCGCUGUGAAGAUGCAGUGUACCCGCGGCAAGACGGAAAGACCCCGUGAACCUUUACUAUAGCUUGACACUGAACAUUGAGCCUUGAUGUGUAGGAUAGGUGGGAGGCUUUGAAGUGUGGACGCCAGUCUGCAUGGAGCCGACCUUGAAAUACCACCCUUUAAUGUUUGAUGUUCUAACGUGGACCCGUAAUCCGGGUUGCGGACAGUGUCUGGUGGGUAGUUUGACUGGGGCGGUCUCCUCCUAAAGAGUAACGGAGGAGCACGAAGGUUGGCUAAUCCUGGUCGGACAUCAGGAGGUUAGUGCAAUGGCAUAAGCCAGCUUGACUGCGAGCGUGACGGCGCGAGCAGGUGCGAAAGCAGGUCAUAGUGAUCCGGUGGUUCUGAAUGGAAGGGCCAUCGCUCAACGGAUAAAAGGUACUCCGGGGAUAACAGGCUGAUACCGCCCAAGAGUUCAUAUCGACGGCGGUGUUUGGCACCUCGAUGUCGGCUCAUCACAUCCUGGGGCUGAAGUAGGUCCCAAGGGUAUGGCUGUUCGCCAUUUAAAGUGGUACGCGAGCUGGGUUUAGAACGUCGUGAGACAGUUCGGUCCCUAUCUGCCGUGGGCGCUGGAGAACUGAGGGGGGCUGCUCCUAGUACGAGAGGACCGGAGUGGACGCAUCACUGGUGUUCGGGUUGUCAUGCCAAUGGCACUGCCCGGUAGCUAAAUGCGGAAGAGAUAAGUGCUGAAAGCAUCUAAGCACGAAACUUGCCCCGAGAUGAGUUCUCCCUGAGACUUAGAGUCUCCUGAAGGAACGUUGAAGACGACGACGUUGAUAGGCCGGGUGUGUAAGCGCAGCGAUGCGUUGAGCUAACCGGUACUAAUGAACCGUGAGGCUUAACCUUACA